This 758-nucleotide ribosomal RNA is filed under the name uncultured bacterium. Its description in RNAcentral is "bacterial SSU rRNA". It matches the Rfam family "Bacterial small subunit ribosomal RNA", at positions 8 to 796 of the family's 1533-position model. The record is from RNAcentral.
AGAGUUUGAUCAUGGCUCAGAAUCAACGCUGGCGGCGUGCCUAACACAUGCAAGUCGAACGAGAAAGUGGUAGCAAUACCAUGAGUAAAGUGGCGCACGGGUGAGUAACACGUGACUAACCUACCCUGGAGUGGGGGAUAACUGAGGGAAACCUUAGCUAAUACCGCAUAAUACCUACGGGUCAAAGGAGCAAUUCGCUUCAGGAGGGGGUCGCGGCCGAUUAGUUAGUUGGCGGGGUAAUGGCCCACCAAGACAGUGAUCGGUAUCCGGCCUGAGAGGGCGCACGGACACACUGGAACUGAAACACGGUCCAGACUCCUACGGGAGGCAGCAGUGGGGAAUUUUGCGCAAUGGGGGAAACCCUGACGCAGCAACGCCGCGUGGAGGAUGAAGUCCCUCGGGACGUAAACUCCUUUCGAUCGGGACGAUUAUGACGGUACCGGAAGAAGAAGCCCCGGCUAACUUCGUGCCAGCAGCCGCGGUAAUACGAGGGGGGCGAGCGUUGUUCGGAAUUAUUGGGCGUAAAGGGUGCGUAGGCGGUUUGGUAAGUCUUAUGUGAAAUCUAUGGGCUCAACUCAUAGACUGCAUGAGAAACUGCCGGGCUUGAGUAUGGGAGAGGUGAGUGGAAUUCCUGGUGUAGCGGUGAAAUGCGUAGAUAUCAGGAGGAACACCUGUGGCGAAAGCGGCUCACUGGACCAUAACUGACGCUGAUGCACGAAAGCUAGGGGAGCAAACAGGAUUAGAUACCCUAGUAGUCC